UAAAAAAUAGUGCCACACAAAAUAAAAUAAAAUAAUUAUUAAUUUAAAUACAAGAAAGCAAAUAUCCAACAAAAAUUAUCACAUUAUAAUAUGUGCAUUACAUUCUCUGAAUUACUGAUCCGGCAUACAAAACCACUCCCAUUAACCCUCACCCAACCCAACCCCCUAAAUAAAGAAAAAAGAAAGAUAAAAAAGGAAAGACAAACACUCAUCAAACUCUGUAAACAUAAAUAGAGCUUAUCAAUUAAUGCUUCGCAGCAUAUUGGUUGAUUAAGGCCAGUGCAUUGCUAGUGACCUGAGCAAGAUUAGCGAUCCGGUUUCUAAUCGAAGCCUUAAUUCUACCAUUUAAAGCCCGACCCGCAAACCCAUCGGUACAGGUAUUCUCAUCGGUGAUAGCAGCACUGACCCAUGUCUCCACGUUGCUAACAUGCCACAAGAAAUCCUUCCCACGGCUAUGGUCCACUUCCUUGAGCUCACUCACCGAUUUGCUUAGCCGAUCUACACUAUCACUUGUCUCCUCUAUACAAUCUUUAAUAGCUGCGUAUUCUCUGGGCUUUAAUCCCUUGAAUUUCAAGAGCUUGCUUACGAAUCCCUUUGUGGAUUGGGCUCUGUCCAGGCUUACGGACAAGGCUGUUUUGAUUAGCUGUUCUUGGCUGUUCUUUAUGGUCUGUGCGUAACCGGAAAGAGAAGCGACGCACAGAUCGGGGUAAGUAGUGGGUUUGCAAGAGUUUUUGAUG
RNAcentral lists this long non-coding RNA (737 nucleotides) under Nicotiana benthamiana. RNAcentral describes it as "long non-coding RNA (NBEN_LNC010896)". The record is from RNAcentral. Lineage: Eukaryota; Viridiplantae; Streptophyta; Magnoliopsida; Solanales; Solanaceae.